Molecule: long non-coding RNA, 640 nt
Organism: Manis javanica (Malayan pangolin)
Lineage: Eukaryota; Metazoa; Chordata; Mammalia; Pholidota; Manidae
Source: RefSeq, a predicted model, not a curated record
UCCAUUUAUUUCUUCCAUAUUUAUCUUUUAUCUAUGGUUAGCAAUAGUGCCUUCCCUCAGGCAUAGCUGGCUGGGAUACCUUCCCCAAGUUGUACAAGGAAACUGAAGGAGAGCGAACAUGAGAAGUAGCUCUCCCCUCCCUCACACACAUACCUUAAGCCUUCAAGUUGCUCUGUUUGGCAUUGCCUCCCAUCUCUUUCCUCCUCUAGCAUGUCCUCUAUUCCUGUUUCUAAUAUUUCCUAUCUCAAUUCUAACGACCAGUGCUGCUACAAAAUUCACUCCAGUGAGAGCCUACCUGUACCUCCUCAGGUUUGGUGAGGUUGUCACUCAAGGUGUCCCACUCCCAGCCAAAGAGGAGCACAUGAUCCCAAGCAAGAAGAACUGAAACAGAGAUGCAGAACUAUUUGGCAUGUGGAGUGAAGAAACCCACCUCCCGCCUCCACCCUACAUCCUGACCACCAUGGUUUGCCAUCACCCUGCUCUCCUGGAGGAGACAAUGAAGUUACCCAGUCUGCUGUGGUCCAGAAGCAGAUGGUCCUCCACCUGACAUUUGGUCAGAAGGUCAACAUGUUAGGGUCCAGGACUCCGAGGUUUCUCAGAUAACAAGCCACACGGACACGGAGAUGAAAAUUCAAGCAAA